CCGUGACUGGGAUAACUGGCCGAAAGGCUUGCUAAUACCAGAUAAGCCCACGACCUCUUUUUCCUGCCGAGGGAAAAGGCGGCCUCUGUAUACAAGCUGUCACAUGGAGAUGAGUCCGCGGCCCAUCAGCUAGUUGGCGGGGUAAAGGCCCACCAAGGCUACGACGGGUAGCUGGUCUGAGAGGAUGAUCAGCCACACUGGAACUGAGACACGGUCCAGACUCCUACGGGAGGCAGCAGUGGGGAAUCUUGCGCAAUGGGCGAAAGCCUGACGCAGCAACGCCGCGUGUGUGAUGAAGGUCUUCGGAUCGUAAAGCACUGUCGAGAGGGAAGAUACGCCACCGGCUAAUAUCCGGGGGCUAAGACGGUACCUCUAAAGGAAGCACCGGCUAACUCUGUGCCAGCAGCCGCGGUAAUACAGAGGGUGCUAGCGUUGUUCGGAAUUAUUGGGCGUAAAGCGCUUGUAGGCGGCUUGUUAAGUUCCGUGUGAAAUCCCCAGGCUUAACCUGGGAAGUGCGCGGAAAACUGGCGAGCUU
Molecule: ribosomal RNA, 535 nt
Filed under: uncultured soil bacterium
Lineage: Bacteria
Description: bacterial SSU rRNA
Rfam family: Bacterial small subunit ribosomal RNA
Source: RNAcentral